Molecule: ribosomal RNA, 373 nt
Filed under: uncultured Nitrososphaerota archaeon
Lineage: Archaea; Thermoproteati; Nitrososphaerota
Description: bacterial SSU rRNA
Rfam family: Archaeal small subunit ribosomal RNA
Source: RNAcentral
GCAUCCGUAGCCGGUUGCAUAAGUUUUCGGUUAAAUCUAUGCGCUCAACGUAUAGGCCGCCGAAAAUACUGUGCAGCUAGGGAGUGGGAGAGGUACACGGUACUCAGUAGGAAGGGGUAAAAUCCUUUGAUCUAUUGAUGACCACCUGUGGCGAAGGCGGUCUACCAGAACACGUUCGACGGUGAGGGAUGAAAGCUGGGGGAGCAAACCGGAUUAGAUACCCGGGUAGUCUCAGCUGUAAACGAUGCAGACUCGGUGAUGCAUUGGCUUAUGGCCAGUGCAGUGCCGCAGGGAAGCCGUUAAGUUUGCCGCCUGGGAAGUACGUACGCAAGUAUGAAACUUAAAGGAAUUGGCGGGGGAGCACAAGCCGAAU